This 543-nucleotide long non-coding RNA is filed under the name Gossypium barbadense (sea-island cotton). Its description in RNAcentral is "long non-coding RNA (GBAR_LNC022631)". Lineage: Eukaryota; Viridiplantae; Streptophyta; Magnoliopsida; Malvales; Malvaceae. The record is from RNAcentral.
GGUGAACCGUUCAGGAAAAAAAAUACUACCCCAUUGCCACAUGAUUGCGUUUAGAGAAAAAUAGUUUGUAUUGUAUAAGUGUACGAAAGGGGAAGCAAUACAUAAAAUGAGGAUCUUAGAAUCACUCAAGUGGUAAAGAAAUUAAAAUGUAUGCAUGAUUUGAGUAGUUAAAUAGUUGAAUACAGGUUCAUAUUGAUGGUCUUAGGUUCAAGUCCCAAACAAAUAGAGUUCUAGGUCCCAUAGCUAACACAUCAAAGUAAAAUAAAAAAGCUUAUUAGUACUGUCUUGCUAGAACUAGGAAAAUUCGAUCAAUUGAUAGUAGAAAUCACAAACACCAAUUCUAUAUUAGCAAUGCUGUAAAGGAUAAGGUUAACGAGAAAAGGAUAAGGUUAACGAGAAAAGGAAAAUAAAUAUACGAUCAGGGAAAAAGAAAUUAAAUAAUUCUGAAUGCAAAUUCAGGGAUAUAAGCAUGUAUUCAACUGGAAAUUGCAUGCUUGGAAACUGGAAGUCAUACUUCAACAACUGAAAAAUGUCUUUAUAAAU